CACGGGCCUGGGCAGGGCUGGCAGCACACAGGACAGCCAGGAGGGGUGCCACCCAACCACAUCUCCUUCUCGGCCACAGGCUAGAUGGCAUCUUCCUGGAGCUGGGCAGUGAGGAGCAGAAGAGACUGCCUGCCUUCAACCGCACGUUGGCCCUACUCCGGCAAGUGCUGAAGUCUGAGGACCCCUGCCACCGAGCCCUGGCCUGGUGCUACCUCGGGAUGCUGCUGGAGCGGAAGGACACCUUCUCCACCACCCCCAUGGGCGUCCAUGACUGCGGGUACUCAGGGACCGACCCUCUAGACUGCUUCGGCAAGGUACGUGCCCCCAGCCACACCCACCCUCUAAACUGAGAAGGAGCCUGGCACCCCAGCCUCUCCACCCAGAACCCAGGCUUCUCUAGGUAUCAACCCCCACCGCGUGGCCCACCCAGGAAGUACACUUACUCCAGACCUUGCUCUCCAUCCUCUCUUCAUUCAAAACAAAAGAGACCCUCCCCAUACCCAGUCUGGCUCCAGUCCAUUUCUCCAGCCUUGAAAUAGACCCUUAGACUUUUUCCCUUGAGGCCUUCAUUCACAGUAUUCCCUCUGCCAGGAGUUCCCUACCUCUCCACCCCCAAUGGCACAAUAGA
This 628-nucleotide small RNA is filed under the name Pan troglodytes (chimpanzee). RNAcentral's name for it is "retained intron". The record is from RNAcentral. Lineage: Eukaryota; Metazoa; Chordata; Mammalia; Primates; Hominidae.